GACGAACGCUGGCGGCGUGCUUAACACAUGCAAGUCGAACGGAAAGGCCCUGCUUUUGUGGGGUGCUCGAGUGGCGAACGGGUGAGUAACACGUGAGUAACCUGCCCUUGACUUUGGGAUAACUUCAGGAAACUGGGGCUAAUACCGGAUAGGAGCUCCUGCUGCAUGGUGGGGGUUGGAAAGUUUCGGCGGUUGGGGAUGGACUCGCGGCUUAUCAGCUUGUUGGUGGGGUAGUGGCUUACCAAGGCUUUGACGGGUAGCCGGCCUGAGCGGGUGACCGGCCACAUUGGGACUGAGAUACGGCCCAGACUCCUACGGGAGGCAGCAGUGGGGAAUAUUGCACAAUGGGCGGAAGCCUGAUGCAGCAACGCCGCGUGCGGGAUGACGGCCUUCGGGUUGUAUCCCGCUUUCGCCUGUGACGAAGCGUGAGUGACGGUAAUGGGUAAAGAAGCACCGGCUAACUACGUG
RNAcentral lists this ribosomal RNA (468 nucleotides) under uncultured bacterium. Its description in RNAcentral is "partial 16S ribosomal RNA". It matches the Rfam family "Bacterial small subunit ribosomal RNA", at positions 28 to 507 of the family's 1533-position model. The record is from RNAcentral.